AAAUUGAAGAGUUUGAUCAUGGCUCAGAUUGAACGCUGGCGGCAGGCCUAACACAUGCAAGUCGAACGGUAACAGGAAGAAGCUUGCUUCUUUGCUGACGAGUGGCGGACGGGUGAGUAAUGUCUGGGAAACUGCCUGAUGGAGGGGGAUAACUACUGGAAACGGUAGCUAAUACCGCAUAACGUCGCAAGACCAAAGAGGGGGACCACUGCCUGAUGGAGGGGGAUAACUACUGGAAACGGUAGCUAAUACCGCAUAACGUCGCAAGACCAAAGAGGGGGACCUUCGGGCCUCUUGCCAUCGGAUGUGCCCAGAUGGGAUUAGCUAGUAGGUGGGGUAACGGCUCACCUAGGCGACGAUCCCUAGCUGGUCUGAGAGGAUGACCAGCCACACUGGAACUGAGACACGGUCCAGACUCCUACGGGAGGCAGCAGUGGGGAAUAUUGCACAAUGGGCGCAAGCCUGAUGCAGCCAUGCCGCGUGUAUGAAGAAGGCCUUCGGGUUGUAAAGUACUUUCAGCGGGGAGGAAGGGAGUAAAGUUAAUACCUUUGCUCAUUGACGUUACCCGCAGAAGAAGCACCGGCUAACUCCGUGCCAGCAGCCGCGGUAAUACGGAGGGUGCAAGCGUUAAUCGGAAUUACUGGGCGUAAAGCGCACGCAGGCGGUUUGUUAAGUCAGAUGUGAAAUCCCCGGGCUCAACCUGGGAACUGCAUCUGAUACUGGCAAGCUUGAGUCUCGUAGAGGGGGGUAGAAUUCCAGGUGUAGCGGUGAAAUGCGUAGAGAUCUGGAGGAAUACCGGUGGCGAAGGCGGCCCCCUGGACGAAGACUGACGCUCAGGUGCGAAAGCGUGGGGAGCAAACAGGAUUAGAUACCCUGGUAGUCCACGCCGUAAACGAUGUCGACUUGGAGGUUGUGCCCUUGAGGCGUGGCUUCCGGAGCUAACGCGUUAAGUCGACCGCCUGGGGAGUACGGCCGCAAGGUUAAAACUCAAAUGAAUUGACGGGGGCCCGCACAAGCGGUGGAGCAUGUGGUUUAAUUCGAUGCAACGCGAAGAACCUUACCUGGUCUUGACAUCCACGGAAGUUUUCAGAGAUGAGAAUGUGCCUUCGGGAACCGUGAGACAGGUGCUGCAUGGCUGUCGUCAGCUCGUGUUGUGAAAUGUUGGGUUAAGUCCCGCAACGAGCGCAACCCUUAUCCUUUGUUGCCAGCGGUCCGGCCGGGAACUCAAAGGAGACUGCCAGUGAUAAACUGGAGGAAGGUGGGGAUGACGUCAAGUCAUCAUGGCCCUUACGACCAGGGCUACACACGUGCUACAAUGGCGCAUACAAAGAGAAGCGACCUCGCGAGAGCAAGCGGACCUCAUAAAGUGCGUCGUAGUCCGGAUUGGAGUCUGCAACUCGACUCCAUGAAGUCGGAAUCGCUAGUAAUCGUGGAUCAGAAUGCCACGGUGAAUACGUUCCCGGGCCUUGUACACACCGCCCGUCACACCAUGGGAGUGGGUUGCAAAAGAAGUAGGUAGCUUAACCUUCGGGAGGGCGCUUACCACUUUGUGAUUCAUGACUGGGGUGAAGUCGUAACAAGGUAACCGUAGGGGAACCUGCGGUUGGAUCACCUCCUUA
Molecule: ribosomal RNA, 1619 nt
Filed under: Escherichia coli
Lineage: Bacteria; Pseudomonadati; Pseudomonadota; Gammaproteobacteria; Enterobacterales; Enterobacteriaceae
Description: bacterial SSU rRNA
Rfam family: Bacterial small subunit ribosomal RNA
Source: RNAcentral